Molecule: long non-coding RNA, 2400 nt
Organism: Triticum dicoccoides
Lineage: Eukaryota; Viridiplantae; Streptophyta; Magnoliopsida; Poales; Poaceae
Exons: 3
Source: RefSeq, a predicted model, not a curated record
CCCAAUAUUCCCGCCUCCUCCACCUCCAACCUCCUGCUGCCGGCCGACGUCCUCAUCCACCGGUUGAGCACGCCGUCUCUCGCCAGGAGGCAUCGACCACGAACUCCCUGUCACCAUUGCCGCCAUGGCUUGCGGGUUCAGGUCGUUGUCGACCUGUUUCUCUCGGUCGCCGGCCUCUUUCGCCCAUGGUCAGAUCUGCGAGUCGCCGGCCCUGACCGUCUGCCAUCCUGAGGGCCAUGCCCCAAUCCGAGUCUGGCCCGGUUGGCUGUCCGCCCGUCCGCCACUUCGUGCGCCGCUGGCAUGGGGUCGAUAGCCACCUUGCCGCACAGUCCAUCCACCAGCGAGCCGCGAUCCAUCCACCCAGUUCGAUAUCCAUCAGGCACCAUCCUUCAGGAGAGCAGAGAGGAUUGCUCCUGAUGUGUUUGAUGCGUGAGAGAACAGAGAGGUCUGACAGAUCACAGGGUAUGCAGUGUACAUAUGAGCAUUGGGGAGAGAGGUAGCAGAGAUACUGGGAAAAGAUGUUCUCUCGAUGGAGAAGACACAGUGCAGGGAGUGUUGUUUGCCACUGCUUGUGCAGUUCUGCUGUUUUGCUACUAUUAUGAAUAUAAAUAUAUGAUCAUUUCUAUUGCAUUGCAAAAAUAAUGUCCACACUUCCAUUCCAUUGCAAUUAUUUUUACAAUGACAACAAGGUUCGCUGGGCCGACCAGAAGAGCUAUUUCAAGGGUGUCCUGUUCAAGGUAAAUCACGCUCUACAUGAUUUUCAUGAAUUGCAGUUUCAUUAGCCCAUUGCCCUUGUGUCCUCUUGUGUUUCUACGACUUGGUAGUUUCUGAUUGGCCAGUUGCAGAGUUUGGGCGAGGAAACUGUGGUUAUGACUUAUGUGGUCCAAGGGCGAUGGCCUGAUAAUUCUCUACAAAGGAACUUUGCGGUUGUGAAAACGCAUCAGUGGAGUGGACGUACACUAUUUUUGUAGUUACAAUUAUGUUCAUCUUAAUCCAGCGCAUCAAGGAUGCCGACGACCUAUGGGCUUCAACGAUGCCGACGACCUUUGCGGCUUCGCACCAGAAGCAGCCAACAUUGCGCCUCAGUCGGCUAGGGAGAUAACCUCUUCACUGGCAGGCAUCAGGAUGAUUCCACGUCGUACCUGUCAGGUUUAGCUCAACUCGCUGUUAUUGAGGUAGUAUGUGAAUCAUCCGAGCUUGCUAAACUUUUCAUAUACGUAAAUAUUGCAUGCCUGAUUAUUUUUAUUAUUGCUUAUUACUUAAGAUUUUGUCUGCUAAUCGGCUCAGCAAAAAUUAUAGUAGUGUUCCCUUGAUAUUUCUUUUUUAUAGCCUUUAUUGCAGUCUGCACCCCUGCAAGAAUGAAAUUAAUUCAUGUUCUUAAAUACUUAUUUAAAGCAUUUAUAUAAAAGGAAUGUAGUGCCCUGUUUAGAUGAGAAGAUUAUUAUUCCUCCAACUUGUGCUUAGCAUGCGUGAGUCAGGAUUCAGGAGGCCUUCACAUACAUCAUACAUACACACCACUCCGGCUUAAUCUACUUAUUCUUUCUCUAGGAUCCAUUUUAGAGCAUACACCUUUUACUUUUAAUACACUACAUUUGUGAGGUGCAGGAUUUCUUACACAACACUAUAAGGACUUGAGGUGAUUCGUGGGUUGUAGGGCAUGGGGAGCUUCACAAUUAUUAGCUCCAUAUUGAAUGUAUCAAGAUUGUUGAUUGUUUGGUUACACAAAGUCAUGGUAGCAAAAGUUGUAUGUAUAGCUUGUGAGUUGUGAUACAUGGUGAUGCAUCUUUGCGAUGUUAAUUGUGCGCCCCAUUUAUUGAUGCUUUGCUAUUUUCUGAUUUAUUGGAUUACAUUAGGCUUAAAAUAUAACGAGAAAUAAUGGUUAUAUACGUAAGUUAAUUAACAUGGUUUAUUGCUUCCGUAAUAGAGUUACGACAAUGGAUGAAAUAUGCUUAAUGUCUAACUUACUUUCAUGUUUUGUUGCAUAUGGAUCCAGAGCCGAUGGCCAAGUUGUUUUUCUCUACGUGUGUUACUUGACCGUCAAUUCUGGGAUGAAAUUGACUAUAGUGCUGUUGUAUGUAAUGUGUUUUUGUUAAGUCUGUAUGGUUGAAAAAUCCAUUAUGUGUGCAUGUUUGAUAUGAGAUAUGGUGCUCAUAUGGAAAGAACUAUAUAUGCAAAAGCUAUAUUCAGGCUAAAUUAAGAUCUGUGCUACAUAAUUGCAUGUUCAUUGUAUUAAAAUAAUUGUGCCCUAACUAGCAUGAUGCAGAUAAAUUGUUUCUAUGAUUAUUAUACGUGUGUUCCACGUGCAUUCUAACUAGUAUUUGUUUAGAAUUUUUUAGAGUUACAGAAGUUUAUUAAACUUCCAGAUUACUACAGACUGUCCUGUUUUUGACGGAUUCUGUU